Molecule: long non-coding RNA, 1004 nt
Filed under: Brassica napus (rape)
Lineage: Eukaryota; Viridiplantae; Streptophyta; Magnoliopsida; Brassicales; Brassicaceae
Description: long non-coding RNA (BNAP_LNC011526)
Source: RNAcentral
UCCAUUAAAAUACGACAACCAAUAACCCCUACUAAGGUUUCAGAAGAAUUUAGGUUGUAUAUGCAUAAUGGAGAAACCAGUUAGAAGAACCAUGCAUCAAUGACAGUGCACCUCCAUUAUUAAUCACAUUUAAAGCAGUCGCCAACGUCAUCCGUAUACAAACAGUCAACCUGCUAUAGCGGAGGCUUAAACAUACAUUAUUAGGGUUUAAAUGUUAUAUGAUUAUAUCCUAAAUUUUACAUCACAAAUGGUAUAUUCUUAAGAUUUAUUAGAAAAAUAGAUAUCGCACAAAUUGAUCCAAUAAUCUAUUUUUAUUAAUUUCUUUUGUUCCCUUUUAUAAGAAAUGAACCGGAACUUUAUGUCACACUAAAUAAGAAUAUGCAUAUAUACACAUAAAAUAUUUAUUCAGAAAUAAUAACAUAUGAAUGUAAAUUUUUAUUUUAUAUUAAAACAUAUAUAUGUGGGAUUAUCUAAAAUUAUAUAUUUCAAAAAUCUCAGUUAAUUAAAUAUUGAAAACCUUUAAAUAAUUUUUUGUAUGAAUAUGAGGUUUUAUUCGGCAUGAUGAAACUAUUAGUAAUGGGUUUAUCACAUUCCAUAAAUACCUUUCUACAUUAAAAUUUGACUUAUGUAAACAAAGGAAAGUCGGGAAAGAAAAUGAAGUCGCUUGGGAAGAAAUAUUGUUAAACGAAGAAAAAAAAACUAGGAAAAAAUCAAAGAAAACCGACAUCAAACAUGUAUAAAUUUGUAGGGAUAAUUUGAAAAAUACCUUAUUUAGGAUUUGAAAUUUGAUAAUUGCAUUUUCUAUUUCAACUUUUGAAAAAUACACUUUCUUAAUUAUGAUUUGACCUUUUUACCCAAGAUAUAAUUCGAAAUUAAUAUACAAAUUCGAAAUUAAUAAAAUAAUAUCAUUAAAAUUAGAUAGAUAUGUGUAUUGAGAUAAAUAUGUUAUUUUACCUCCUGCUCUUGUAUUCACCAUGAAUUUCCAUGAUCCUUUAUUCAUCUUC